UGCCAGCAGCCGCGGUAAUACGGAGGGAUCUAGCGUUAUUCGGAAUUACUGGGCGUAAAGCGAGCGUAGGCUGAUUUGUAAGUUGGAUGUGAAAUCCCAGAGCUUAACUCUGGAACUGCAUCCAAAACUAUAUUUCUUGAGUUUGGUAGAGGAGAGUGGAAUUCCUAGUGUAGAGGUGAAAUUCGUAGAUAUUAGGAGGAACACCAGUGGCGAAGGCGACUCUCUGGGCCAAUACUGACGCUGAGGUUCGAAAGCGUGGGGAGCGAACGGGAUUAGAUA
RNAcentral lists this ribosomal RNA (279 nucleotides) under uncultured bacterium. RNAcentral's name for it is "partial 16S ribosomal RNA". It matches the Rfam family "Bacterial small subunit ribosomal RNA", at positions 506 to 784 of the family's 1533-position model. The record is from RNAcentral.